AUUUAGCUGACGAAUCCUAAAUAGAACGAAAUGAGUGUUCUGGAU
This 45-nucleotide non-coding RNA is filed under the name Schistosoma mattheei. The record is from RNAcentral. Lineage: Eukaryota; Metazoa; Platyhelminthes; Trematoda; Strigeidida; Schistosomatidae.